Molecule: ribosomal RNA, 1434 nt
Filed under: uncultured organism
Description: 16S ribosomal RNA
Rfam family: Bacterial small subunit ribosomal RNA
Source: RNAcentral
CAGGCUUAACACAUGCAAGUCGAGGGGCAUCAGGAAGAAAGCUUGCUUUCUUUGCUGGCGACCGGCGCACGGGUGAGUAACACGUAUCCAACCUGCCCUUUACUCGGGGAUAGCCUUUCGAAAGAAAGAUUAAUACCCGAUGGCAUAAUGAUUCCGCAUGGUUUCAUUAUUAAAGGAUUCCGGUAAAGGAUGGGGAUGCGUUCUAUUAGGUUGUUGGUGAGGUAACGGCUCACCAAGCCUUCGAUGGAUAGGGGUUCUGAGAGGAAGGUCCCCCACAUUGGAACUGAGACACGGUCCAAACUCCUACGGGAGGCAGCAGUGAGGAAUAUUGGUCAAUGGGCGCUAGCCUGAACCAGCCAAGUAGCGUGAAGGAUGAAGGCUCUAUGGGUCGUAAACUUCUUUUAUAUAAGAAUAAAGUGCAGUAUGUAUACUGUUUUGUAUGUAUUAUAUGAAUAAGGAUCGGCUAACUCCGUGCCAGCAGCCGCGGUAAUACGGAGGAUCCGAGCGUUAUCCGGAUUUAUUGGGUUUAAAGGGAGCGUAGGUGGACUGGUAAGUCAGUUGUGAAAGUUUGCGGCUCAACCGUAAAAUUGCAGUUGAUACUGUCAGUCUUGAGUACAGUAGAGGUGGGCGGAAUUCGUGGUGUAGCGGUGAAAUGCUUAGAUAUCACGAAGAACUCCGAUUGCGAAGGCAGCUCACUGGACUGCAACUGACACUGAUGCUCGAAAGUGUGGGUAUCAAACAGGAUUAGAUACCCUGGUAGUCCACACAGUAAACGAUGAAUACUCGCUGUUUGCGAUAUACAGUAAGCGGCCAAGCGAAAGCAUUAAGUAUUCCACCUGGGGAGUACGCCGGCAACGGUGAAACUCAAAGGAAUUGACGGGGGCCCGCACAAGCGGAGGAACAUGUGGUUUAAUUCGAUGAUACGCGAGGAACCUUACCCGGGCUUAAAUUGCAGUGGGAUGAUGUGGAAACAUGUCAGUGAGCAAUCACCGCUGUGAAGGUGCUGCAUGGUUGUCGUCAGCUCGUGCCGUGAGGUGUCGGCUUAAGUGCCAUAACGAGCGCAACCCUUAUCUUUAGUUACUAACAGGUUAUGCUGAGGACUCUAGAGAGACUGCCGUCGUAAGAUGUGAGGAAGGUGGGGAUGACGUCAAAUCAGCACGGCCCUUACGUCCGGGGCUACACACGUGUUACAAUGGGGGGUACAGAAGGCAGCUAGCGGGUGACCGUAUGCUAAUCCCAAAAGCCUCUCUCAGUUCGGAUCGAAGUCUGCAACCCGACUUCGUGAAGCUGGAUUCGCUAGUAAUCGCGCAUCAGCCACGGCGCGGUGAAUACGUUCCCGGGCCUUGUACACACCGCCCGUCAAGCCAUGGGAGCCGGGGGUACCUGAAGUACGUAACCGCAAGGAUCGUCCUAGGGUAAAACUGGUGACUGGGG